RNAcentral lists this ribosomal RNA (1063 nucleotides) under Bacillus subtilis. Its description in RNAcentral is "bacterial SSU rRNA". It matches the Rfam family "Bacterial small subunit ribosomal RNA", at positions 33 to 1089 of the family's 1533-position model. Lineage: Bacteria; Bacillati; Bacillota; Bacilli; Caryophanales; Bacillaceae. The record is from RNAcentral.
AAGCCGUGCGGCGUGCUAUACAUGCAGUCGAGCGGACAGAUGGGAGCUUGCUCCCUGAUGUUAGCGGCGGACGGGUGAGUAACACGUGGGUAACCUGCCUGUAAGACUGGGAUAACUCCGGGAAACCGGGGCUAAUACCGGAUGGUUGUUUGAACCGCAGGUUCAAACAUAAAAGGUGGCUUCGGCUACCACUUACAGAUGGACCCGCGGCGCAUUAGCUAGUUGGUGAGGUAACGGCUCACCAAGGCGACGAUGCGUAGCCGACCUGAGAGGGUGAUCGGCCACACUGGACUGAGACACGGCCCAGACUCCUACGGGAGGCAGCAGUAGGGAAUCUUCCGCAAUGGCGAAAGUCUGACGGAGCAACGCCGCGUGAUGAUGAAGGUUUUCGGAUCGUAAAGCUCUGUUGUUAGGGAAGAACAAGUACCGUUCGAAUAGGGCGGUACCUUGACGGUACCUAACCAGAAAGCCACGGCUAACUACGUGCCAGCAGCCGCGGUAAUACGUAGGUGGCAAGCGUUGUCCGGAAUUAUUGGGCGUAAAGGGUCGCAGGCGGUUUCUUAAGUCUGAUGUGAAAGCCCCCGGCUCAACCGGGGAGGGUCAUUGGAAACUGGGGAACUUGAGGCAGAAGAGGAGAGUGGAAUUCCACGUGUAGCGGUGAAAUGCGUAGAGAUGUGGAGGAAACCAGUGGCGAAGGCGACUCUCUGGUCUGUAACUGACGCUGAGGAGCGAAAGCGUGGGGAGCGAACAGGAUUAGAUACCCUGGUAGUCCACGCCGUAAACGAUGAGUGCUAAGUGUUAGGGGGUUUCCGCCCCUUAGUGCUGCAGCUAACGCAUUAAGCACUCCGCCUGGGGAGUACGGUCGCAAGACUGAAACUCAAAGGAAUUGACGGGGGCCCGCACAAGCGGUGGAGCAUGUGGUUUAAUUCGAAGCAACGCGAAGAACCUUACCAGGUCUUGACAUCCUCUGACAUCCUAGAGAUAGGACGUCCCCUUCGGGGGCAGAGUGACAGGUGUGCAUGGUGUCGUCAGCUCGUGUCGUGAGAUGUUGGGUUAAGUUCCG